RNAcentral lists this small RNA (260 nucleotides) under Carlito syrichta (Philippine tarsier). Its description in RNAcentral is "7SK RNA (ENSTSYG00000023410.2)". The stretch from base 1 to 206 matches the Rfam family "7SK RNA", at positions 77 to 331 of the family's 331-position model. Rfam says of the family: 7SK was discovered as an abundant small nuclear RNA in the mid-70s but a possible function has only recently been suggested. Two independent studies have found that 7SK RNA binds the CDK9/cyclin T complex (known as elongation factor P-TEFb). P-TEFb activates transcription by phosphorylating the C-terminal domain of RNA polymerase II. The record is from RNAcentral. Lineage: Eukaryota; Metazoa; Chordata; Mammalia; Primates; Tarsiidae.
AGAAUAAGGCAUACUUCCUCCCUCACCGCUCCAUGUGCGUCCCUCCCGGAGCUGCGCGCUCGGUUGAAGAGGACGACCAUCCCCGCUAGAGGAGGACCAUUCUUCGGUCAAGGGUAUACAAGUAGCUGCGCUCCCCUGCUAGAACCUCCAAACAAGAAUAAGGCAUAAAAGACAAAUUGUGAGCUUCUCAUUCAAAGGCAGGGCUUGCCGGGGAUGAGCGUCAUUAUAAGGCUAGAGCACAGGAACCUGGACCUUUUGCU